GGCAGGAACCCAACAACGGGUUGCCUGAUUUGUCUGAAAAUUUCAGGGCAGUUAAAUCUUGACUUAAUAAACAUAUUUAAAUGAAUGAGAUUUGCUCUAAAUGCUUUGAAUUCAGAGAUAUUAGCCAAAAAUUGCAUUUUACCCCUAUGUACUAUUCUUAGCCACGUCGGCCAUCUUGGUUCGUGGACGAAGUCAUUGGACACAUAAUUGAAACUAC
RNAcentral lists this long non-coding RNA (217 nucleotides) under Mytilus galloprovincialis (Mediterranean mussel). Lineage: Eukaryota; Metazoa; Mollusca; Bivalvia; Mytilida; Mytilidae. The record is from RNAcentral.